GUAUGAGGUUUCGAAAUGUAUUGAUGGUUGUGUCAUUCGUGAGUAUGAUUUCAUGAGUUUUCUUUGCAAAAACUUUUUUUUUCUGUUGAAUUCGCGUGUCCAAGUAUACCUUUUACACUCAAAUACUAGAGACUAUUAGUUGGACCGUUGACUGAGAUAUCCUUCAGUCAACGGUUGGACAGACGGCGACGCUUGUCCGAUUAUAGGCACUGUAGCUUGUAUGGAGAGUAGAAUUUGGAAACCUGAACGAAUUAACGAUAAUUAAGCGCAAAGUCAUUCAAAAUCUGUGUCCAAAAAGGUAGACCAAAAUCUUGACCCGAACACCCUGGCAGACCACCGUAAGGGCCAGUAAAUCCGUGUAGAUUGGAGAUCGGGCAUUACAGUUACUUUCGAUUACCAGAAUUUUAGUCAGUUAUAUUGGUACAUAGCAAGAUAUUUAUGGUUGCAGGUUGUUCCAGAACGCAGUUUCUCCAUUCAUCGGAGUGUCUUGGUUAGGUCAGGCUUGCGUGGCUUGGGUUUGGGACAGAUUUGUGGAACAAACGAAAAAAAGAAAAAAAAAAAACAAUAGCGGAAUAGGACACUGAUUGUGAAACAGACACAUGGUUACAUUAGUUAUUUGUUAAACUGUUUUUGGAGUUUAUUGGAGUUUACUCCUUAAGAAACGAUUUGAGUUAUAGGGCCCGGCACGGAAAUUAUAUGAGGAGUAAAAUCAAGUGUAACACGAAAACUUGAGGCGUUAUAGAAAGAGAAAAACAUAUACAUUGAACGUGCAAAAGAAUGAGAUGGAAUACAUUACACAGCGUAUCCUAUACUCGGGGUCUCCUCUUUCUGCGGUGGUUCGUAGUCUCACUGUAUAGUUCACUACCUCUGGUCUGAGAGUUGAAUGUGUGCGUAUGUUUGUACGUGUGUGUUGUGUGCCUGCGUAUGAAUUUAUAAGACGUGACGUUAUCACGUCAAAAUAUUUGAAAAUAUGGAAGAAAUUGAUUUAGAUGAUAAUGAAGAAGAAUCCGAAAAACACAUGGAU
Molecule: long non-coding RNA, 1024 nt
Filed under: Neodiprion lecontei (redheaded pine sawfly)
Lineage: Eukaryota; Metazoa; Arthropoda; Insecta; Hymenoptera; Diprionidae
Description: uncharacterized LOC107227737, transcript variant X3
Source: RNAcentral